GAUGAACGCUGGCGGCGUGCCUAAUACAUGCAAGUCGAGCGAACAGACGAGGAGCUUGCUCCUCUGACGUUAGCGGCGGACGGGUGAGUAACACGUGGAUAACCUACCUAUAAGACUGGGAUAACUUCGGGAAACCGGAGCUAAUACCGGAUAAUAUAUUGAACCGCAUGGUUCAAUAGUGAAAGACGGUUUUGCUGUCACUUAUAGAUGGAUCCGCGCCGCAAUAGCUAGUUGGUAAGGUAACGGCUUACCAAGGCGACGAUGCGUAGCCGACCUGAGAGGGUGAUCGGCCACACUGGAACUGAGACACGGUCCAGACUCCUACGGGAGGCAGCAGUAGGGAAUCUUCCGCAAUGGGCGAAAGCCUGACGGAGCAACGCCGCGUGAGUGAUGAAGGUCUUCGGAUCGUAAAACUCUGUUAUUAGGGAAGAACAAAUGUGUAAGUAACUAUGCACGUCUUGACGGUACCUAAUCAGAAAGCCACGGCUAACUACGUG
RNAcentral lists this ribosomal RNA (497 nucleotides) under uncultured bacterium. RNAcentral's name for it is "partial 16S ribosomal RNA". It matches the Rfam family "Bacterial small subunit ribosomal RNA", at positions 28 to 507 of the family's 1533-position model. The record is from RNAcentral.